RNAcentral lists this ribosomal RNA (253 nucleotides) under uncultured bacterium. RNAcentral describes it as "partial 16S ribosomal RNA". It matches the Rfam family "Bacterial small subunit ribosomal RNA", at positions 524 to 776 of the family's 1533-position model. The record is from RNAcentral.
UACGAAGGGGGCUAGCGUUGUUCGGAAUUACUGGGCGUAAAGCGCACGUAGGCGGAUCGAUCAGUCAGGGGUGAAAUCCCAGGGCUCAACCCUGGAACUGCCUUUGAUACUGUCGAUCUGGAGUAUGGAAGAGGUGAGUGGAAUUCCGAGUGUAGAGGUGAAAUUCGUAGAUAUUCGGAGGAACACCAGUGGCGAAGGCGGCUCACUGGCCCGGAACUGACGCUGAAAUACGAAAGCGUGGGGAGCAAACAGG